This is a non-coding RNA of Rhexocercosporidium sp. MPI-PUGE-AT-0058, 116 nucleotides long. NCBI's taxonomy places the organism in Eukaryota, Fungi, Ascomycota, Leotiomycetes, Helotiales. The record is from the annotation of a GenBank genome assembly.
GCGUUUGUGGUUUAGUGGUAAAAUCCAUCGUUGCCAGUUUCCUCUCUUUCUGAGAAGUCAGAAAAAGGAUAAGAAUCAGUAUCGAUGGGCCCCGGGUUCGAUUCCCGGCGAACGCA